UAAGAUUUUCAGGGUCGGGUGAUUGAAGGCGACUUCAUGAUUCCCAACCGGCGGUAUAGCCCGCGAAUCGGGGGUAAAAAACCCCAGAUCGAACCGGUGAGAUUCCGGUGCCGACGGUAUAGUCCGGAUGGAAGAAAAUCUCG
RNAcentral lists this non-coding RNA (143 nucleotides) under Treponema primitia. RNAcentral describes it as "FMN sequence". It matches the Rfam family "FMN riboswitch aptamer (RFN element)". From Rfam's summary of the family: The RFN element is a highly conserved domain that is found frequently in the 5'-untranslated regions of prokaryotic mRNAs that encode for flavin mononucleotide (FMN) biosynthesis and transport proteins. This element is a metabolite-dependent riboswitch that directly binds FMN in the absence of proteins. In Bacillus subtilis, the riboswitch most likely controls gene expression by causing premature transcription termination within the 5' untranslated region of the ribDEAHT operon and precluding access to the ribosome-binding site of ypaA mRNA. RNAcentral also lists the same sequence under 1 other name. Lineage: Bacteria; Pseudomonadati; Spirochaetota; Spirochaetia; Treponematales; Treponemataceae. The record is from RNAcentral.